UCCAUUCACCUGCAACUCCACAGUAGCUCUCAGAAGCAAAGAAUGUUCCGUUCCUUCUCCAACUAGUUUAUAUAAAUCCUUAAAAAUCCCAGCUUUUUUGCCGUGUCUGCUGCUCAGAUAUUGGAGCUUAGAGCUGCGGACAGGGAGGGCGACAAUGGGGGGAGUCACUUCAUCAAUGGCGGCGAAAUUCGCCUUCUUCCCGCCAAACCCACCUUCCUACAAGCUAGUUAUGGACCCCGCCACCGGGCUGCUGCUCCUCGAUCCGUUCCCUCACCGGGAGAACGUCGACGUCCUCAGGCUCAAGACCAGGAGGGGCAACGAGAUUGCCGCCGUCUACGUCCGGUACCCUAUGGCCACGUCGACCCUUUUGUACUCUCACGGUAACGCCACCGACAUCGGCCAGAUGUAUGAGCUCUUCAUCGAGCUCAGCAUCCACUUGAAAAUUAACGUCAUGGGGUACGACUACUCUGGUUAUGGUCGGUCAUCGGGAAAGCCCAGCGAGCAUAACACUUACGCAGAUAUUCAAGCUGCAUAUAACUGUCUUUUAGAGAACUACGGUGCCAAGCAAGAAGACAUCAUUCUUUAUGGCCAAUCGGUUGGGAGUGGCCCCACUGUGGAUCUUGCCACUCGUUUGCCACGUCUUAGAGCUGUUGUUCUUCACAGCCCAAUUCUUUCUGGAUUGAGGGUCAUGUAUCCUGUUAAGCGCACAUACUGGUUCGAUAUCUAUAAGAACAUUGACAAAAUCCCAAUGGUGAGGUGUCCUGUGCUGGUUAUUCAUGGAACCUCAGACGAAGUUGUGGAUUUCUCACAUGGGAAGCAUCUCUGGGAACUGUGCCAAGAGAAAUAUGAACCUUUGUGGCUGAAAGGGGGGAACCACUGUAACUUGGAACGAUUUCCGGAGUAUAUCAGGCAUCUCAAAAAAUUCAUUCUCUCAGUUGAAAAGUCACCUUCUCGUCGGAGUAGUACCCGGAAAAGCAUAGACCGGACAGAAAACUCGAGGAGGAGCUCAGAUUGCUUUGAAGGCCCGAGGAAGAGCACAGACAGGAGAGAGAAGCCGAGGAAAAGCACUGACAGACCUGAGAACCUAAGGUUUCCAGACUACAGGUGUAGCAAUAUCGAGAAGCUGGAGAAACUAAAGAUCCCGUUUGACCAGGUGGAGAGGUCUCGGAGAAGUGUGGAGUACCAUGAGAAGCCGAGGAGAAGUAUCGAUCAUCAGCUCGAGAAGGGGAGGAAAAGCGUCGAUUGGUUGGACAGAAUACGAUAAACCAAUGAAGAAGCAAACACCGUCAAAGUCAGUCAUUAUUUGGGGCGAUUUAGUGGGAGAAUAACAGAUAACAUGAGAACAAAGAUAGAUAUGCCCAUUGGGUUUUCUGGACGUCCGAUCAAACUGCCUGGAAAACUGGUAAAAGAGUGUGAAAGCAUCCUUCAGGAGUUUGUUUCUAUUGAAGGAAAUCAGGUGAUGAGCAAAAACCUUUUGGAAAUGAGACUUGCAGGACAAGCAUCUUUCGGUUUCAAGAUGAUUAAGGCACGCUAUCCAUCCAGAGGGCCUAUUGGAAUGUGGCCCUACACAUUUCUUCCUUCUCCACUCCUAGAAAGUGAAUGUUUGUUUGCAAUGAUAGUAUAACACGUCCUUUGAAGAAAAGGCAUGACCGAAUCAUGGACAUCCGAAAAGCUUGCAAUUCUCAUUGGACCCCUACAAGCGUGCAAUUGCGAAUACUUGGGAUUAUCAGGCGUUAUAACUUAUAUACGGCUCAGCAAGAUCAGUUAGUUCUAGUUUUCAUGGCAAAGACGUGAUAGUACUAUGGAUAUGUUCCAUGUUCUGCGUCAUAAGAGUUGUUUCCUUUAUAACUGAUUAACUGGUCGGUGCCCAAUAUAUUACGCUAUCCUAGUCCUA
Punica granatum (pomegranate) is the source of this 1894-nucleotide non-coding RNA. NCBI's taxonomy places the organism in Eukaryota, Viridiplantae, Streptophyta, Magnoliopsida, Myrtales, Lythraceae. The record is from RefSeq and is a predicted model, not a curated record.